GGGACCAGGAAUGACAUUAGAGUGGAGUUUUAUUGUGAAAGAUACAUGGCAGAGGAAGUAGAGUGGAGUGAGUAGGGGGCACUUGUUUGACUAAGUCACAGUGAUAAAGUUUGCGCAAACAAAUAUGUAGUUGACGUCUUAACAGUAUCGACAGUCUCAAUCAGAAUAUUGCCUCUACAUAUUAUUUGUGGGCAACAGGAGGUAUUUCUACCCGAAGUUCAUCAUACCGUCGUUCACUCGUUGUAUUAGCUUCGCGUGUGUAAUUAGCUCAUUAGCUUACGGUGUUUAUUUUGAGCAUUCAUUAGCAAAGUGAACGGACUGUUAGCCACAGCUAACCUAGCUUGCGCUGAAGGCUUCAGCUCGUCGUGAUCGACGUGGGAAACCUUGAGGAUUUGUGAGACUUUGUGCCAGAAGCUGCCCAGCUGACACCCGAGAGCUUCUUCUGCUUCGGCGGGUAGAGACCACACGACAUCUCUCUGGACAUCGGGUCCGACUCCUCGAUCGUCGAGGGACUGAGGCCGCGAGAGACCGGUGACGUCAUCAGCUGCCGAGGCCACCAGCUCCUGAGAUCCUUUUUACCGGAGGAUGAUUACGGGGGCCCAGGCGGUUUCCCAGAAGCCGCAGCAGCUACGUGGAUAGUGGCGAAGGUUGUGACACAUGGGAGCUGCUGAGUAACACUGCCUCCUGCUGCCAGGGCUCACGAGCUAACAGACCAUGAAGACACGCAGGCUUUCACAAUAUCAUAUCUUUCACUGGGGGGGAUGCGUCAUAAUCCCCAAACCCAUCGUGCAUCUAUAGAGUAAAGCAUUAUCACACCAUAUGCUCUGGAAACCAUUGUACCUUGCUUAUGCAGUCUACGUAC
RNAcentral lists this long non-coding RNA (862 nucleotides) under Scophthalmus maximus (turbot). RNAcentral's name for it is "lncRNA (ENSSMAG00000032186.1)". The record is from RNAcentral. Lineage: Eukaryota; Metazoa; Chordata; Actinopteri; Pleuronectiformes; Scophthalmidae.